This is an RNA transcript of Equus quagga, 3518 nucleotides long. It is a transcript of the gene named RAB29, member RAS oncogene family, with no coding region annotated. The record is from RefSeq and is a predicted model, not a curated record. The transcript has 7 exons. Lineage: Eukaryota; Metazoa; Chordata; Mammalia; Perissodactyla; Equidae.
GGGGCGGCACAGGGUCCAGGGAGUCAGGGUGUGGGCCCCUCCUUCCCCCGAGUUUGGUUUGUGCCAAAUAGGGGCGGGCCCCCAUCUUCUGGCCCGACUGUGAAAUGAGCUGGCCUGGGCCCAGUCGCCCGCUGGAGCGGUUCGGGGGAAGUCCCGGGGAGUGAGGCACCGAGGUGCCUGGUCCUGUUUCCCGGCAGCCGGGCCGGGAGGGGGAGAAGGUGCGAGCAGCCGGCCUGGAGCUCGCGCCCUGCCCCCACCCAGGCUGCGGCGGCGCGGGGAGGAAGCGCGUAUAGGUGGAGCGCAAAGUUUCCCUUUUUCUUUCUCGUCACAGCAGCCCCAACGCCGGCGGGCGGGGAUGCCUAACUUCAGUUUGCAGGGGUCCGGAGCCUAACGGGUUAAAAUUAACGCCUCCUCCACUUCCCGCCUCCCCGAAAGGUCCACCCCGCCAGCCAUGGGCAGCCGCGAUCACCUGUUCAAAGUGCUGGUGGUGGGGGACGCCGCGGUGGGCAAGACGUCCCUGGUGCAGCGUUAUUCCCAGGACAGCUUCAGCAAACACUACAAGUCCACGGUGGGAGUGGAUUUCGCUCUGAAAGUUCUCCAGUGGUCUGACUCAGAGAUGGUGCGGCUCCAGCUGUGGGAUAUUGCAGGGCAGGAGCGUUUCACUUCUAUGACACGCCUGUACUAUCGGGAUGCCUCUGCCUGUGUUAUUAUGUUUGAUGUUACCAAUGCCACUACCUUUAGCAACAGCCAGAGAUGGAAACAGGACCUGGACAGCAAGCUCACGCUGCCUAAUGGAGAGCCCGUGCCCUGCCUGCUCUUGGCGAACAAGUGUGAUCUGUCCCCUUGGGCAGUGAGCCGAGACCAGGUUGACCGAUUCAGUAAAGAGAACGGUUUCACAGGUUGGACAGAAACAUCAGUCAAGGAGAACAAAAAUAUUAAUGAGGCCAUGAGAGUCCUCAUUGAAAAGAUGAUGAGCAAUUCCAGAGAGGAUGUGUCUUCCUCCACCCAAGGGGACUACAUCAACCUGAAAACCAAGCCGUCCUCCCCCUGGGCCUGCUGCUAAUAGUGUUUGGCUUGUUUUCCCUCCCAGUUCUAGGAGGUCUUUCAUCUCUUCCCUUUGGUCGCCCACCCAGCAAUUUUAUUCAGUACAUUUGAACUGUCUCUUGCUCACUCUUCAGUGAGGAGGGCCAUCAUCACUGAGAGAAGACACCUGGGAGCCAGGUGCAUUUCUGCAUCUCCUGCAAGUUGGUUCUCACUUGCUGCUGGCUCAUGUGGCCCAGUUAGUGCCUUCUGGAUAAGAAAGAUCGUUGUCUCAUCUCUCAAUUUGUGAUCUGGGAUUUGUGGGAAGGAUUAGAAAUCAGCAUCUUUGUUUUAAGGAUCAUAACGCUGACCUGCUUUUGAGCUUAUUUUUCCAUUUGAUGUAUGUUGAUUUCUCAGUCUGAUGUGACUUCAGAUCGCAAGGAAAAUGAGAUCAAAAGCCAUUUGCCAAAUUCCUUGUAGUUCAUUGCUUUCAGAUCCUUUCUGUCUUGGACUUUCAAUUCAAACAUCUGAUUCUGAGAUGCAGAAGGAGAGGGGCUGCAUGUCUUUGGGUUUGGACUACCGGAGGUGACCGAAAAGUCACCGUAUUUUUGAAGCUUCUAAAGUCACAAUUAGCUUUCUCUUGUCUUCUCUUCAAGAGUAGUCAAGACUAUCUAUCAUAUGUAAUGAGAGCAUUUCUUUCCCCAAAGAAAGAAAUUCUCACGUUAGGCUUUUCUAGUGUCUCCCUCCCGCGGGCGUUCCUGGGGGGAUGUCUUGAUGCAUAAUGCUGCAAGUGACCGCGGUCGGCUGUGAUGCCCUGAAAUAGGUCUGUUCCUCGCAGCUCUGGGAGUCUGAGUGGAAGAGGAGGGAGAGGUUAACAGAACAAAAUCCCGUGAGGCAACUUGCUUAGAAUUUUCCGUGUUUGAGACAAGACGCCCCUCCAACCACUCAGCUGGUCUACGGCCAAAAAGAAAACAUAAGCGUUCCCUGCAGACUCAAGGUCUGAGGUUGUGAGAGAGCCAAGGAAGGGCUGAGAACAGAGCUGUGGGACUGUGACUGCCCUGGCUUUCUUCUUUGAACAGAACAGCUGAGUGACCAAACAAGCAGGGAAAAAGAGACCACAGGUCAAGGAAGCCUCCUCAGCAGUGGUUCGUCUUCUGUCCUCAGGACACUGUCCCAGCUGACAUGAGACGUUUCCUGCCUGUCGUCGUCCUUUUGUAGGCAGUGGCCUGCUUUUGACUUGAUCUAAGGCCGUGGUUAGAAGACGUGAAAAUCUCCGUGGUAUUUUGUAAAAUCCAGUGAGCUGAUUGCCCGAGGAAACAGACCGCAGUGCCCUUUGCCCCCCGCCCAUUUUGGGUCGCUAUGGAUGGGAAAAGUCCUCAGCUGUGAAAGUGACUCAUUUAUUAAAGCUGAACGAUCCCAAAGCUGCAGGCUGGGCCAGGUGGGAAGCCACAGAGAGUGGCAGGGUUGGAAAAGAUGCUACGUGUAUUUUUGAUUCGGCCAUAAAUACCAGAGACUUGAGAAUGUAGCUACAUAUGACCUUUGUUAUUGUUAGAAAAAAACCUGCCUUCCCUUUGGCUUUCAAGCAUAAUCUGAAUUCUCUCGAGUUCCAUCUGCAGAGUUUCAGUCUGAUAAUGGAAUUGCUCUGUAUUAGGGUUUUCCAGGGAAACAGAACUAGUAGGAUAUGCGUAUAUGUAAAGGGAUUUAUCAUAAGGAAUUGGCUCAUGCAAUUAUGGAGGCUGGAAAGUCCAAAAUCUGCAGAGCUGAUGUCCCAGUUCAGGUCCCAAGGUUAGCAGGCUGGAAGAGCAGACAUUCUGGUUCAGAGGCCGUCAGGCAGGAGAAUUACUCAAGAGAGGGUCAACCUUUUGUUCUGUUUAGGCCUUCAACUGAUUGGAUGAGGCCCACACACAUUAGGGAGGGCAAUCUGAUUUACUUAGUCUACCAAUUUAAGUGUUAAUCUCAUCCAGAACACCCUCACAGAAACACCCAGAAUAAUGUUUGACCAAAUACCCCAUGGCCCAGUCAAGUUGACAUAAAAUUAACCGUCACGUGCUCUUAACAGUCCUUUACUGUGUGAGGGUACGUUUUGAUGCCUUUUCUGCACACUCUAAUUUAAUUUGAUUCACACUCAAAGCCCGUCUGAUUAGGAACUAACUAACUACAUGUUAAUGGGAAUAAGAAGAAGAAGGCAGCUAGUCAGCUUUUUAUGAGUUGUCAUGAGAUGAGAAGGGCAGCCUAGCAGCACUGGAUACCAAUAUCUGAAUUUGUAUAAACUUCCCUCAGAUCUGUGAGUUGUGUAUGCUUCUUACACUGUCUUGGAAAUAAGAAAGAAAACAGUUCUUCCUAUUUUAUGUUUGAGGCAACCAGUGUCUCAGAAUUUGACUGACUGAGGGCUGGCCCCGUGCAGCGGUUAAGUGCGCAUGUUCUGCUUCAGCAGCCCAGGGUUCGCCGGUUUGGAUCCUGGGUGUGGACUGACACACCGCUUGUCAAGCCAUGCUGUG